UCCAGAAUGGCGCAAUGGUAGCGCAAAGGUAGUAAAUACCUUAUGUUGUAGGUUCGAAUCCUACUUCCGGAU
RNAcentral lists this transfer RNA (72 nucleotides) under Pseudobutyrivibrio ruminis. It matches the Rfam family "tRNA". Rfam says of the family: Transfer RNA (tRNA) molecules are approximately 80 nucleotides in length. Their secondary structure includes four short double-helical elements and three loops (D, anti-codon, and T loops). The record is from Rfam by way of RNAcentral. Lineage: Bacteria; Bacillati; Bacillota; Clostridia; Lachnospirales; Lachnospiraceae.